RNAcentral lists this ribosomal RNA (442 nucleotides) under uncultured Nitrosospira sp. RNAcentral describes it as "bacterial SSU rRNA". It matches the Rfam family "Bacterial small subunit ribosomal RNA", at positions 202 to 640 of the family's 1533-position model. The record is from RNAcentral. Lineage: Bacteria; Pseudomonadati; Pseudomonadota; Betaproteobacteria; Nitrosomonadales; Nitrosomonadaceae.
UAAGACCUUUCGCUUUCGGAGUGGCCGAUAUCAGAUUAGCUAGUUGGUGAGGUAAAGGCUCACCAAGGCGACGAUCUGUAGCGGGUCUGAGAGGAUGAUCCGCCACACUGGGACUGAGACACGGCCCAGACUCCUACGGGAGGCAGCAGUGGGGAAUUUUGGACAAUGGGCGCAAGCCUGAUCCAGCCAUGCCGCGUGAGUGAAGAAGGCCUUCGGGUUGUAAAGCUCUUUCAGCCGGAAAGAAAUCGUGCAGAUUAAUACUCUGCAUGGAUGACGGUACCGGAAGAAGAAGCACCGGCUAACUACGUGCCAGCAGCCGCGGUAAUACGUAGGGUGCGAGCGUUAAUCGGAAUUACUGGGCGUAAAGCGUGCGCAGGCGGUUUUGUAAGACAGACGUGAAAUCCCCGGGCUUAACCUGGGAACUGCGUUUGAAACUACAAAG